AGCAUGUGAAUGAGCAUUUAAAACUGCUGGAUGAUGAGGUCAGUCCAGCCGUGUUAAAGAGGAAAUCUGAGGAGCACAAUCUUCAAGAGAAAGUACCAGAACAGUUUGAAACCAUUGAGCUGCUGAUAUUAGAGGAUUCAGACUCCCAGAAGACAGAGCUGAACAAUUCUGAACCCAUAGGACCAAGAGCUGCACUGAGAAAAGAAACAAAAACGAGCAAAACUGAGCCUACAGAACCAAAGACUAUAAAUGAUAGAAAAUCUAAAGAGAAUAAGCUUGGUCAUGAUGUUUACAGUAGGCAUAGAAAGCAAACAUUUCACCCGACAGCUCUGAUUGAUGAGAAACCAGAAGGGGAACAUAUUUGUACAAAUCAGAUGAACAAGAACCUGCCAGAGGUGAAACCCAAGCUGGACUGUCUGGUUAGGAAGCAACCACAUCAAGCAUCAUCCAGAAUUCCUAUUCAAGCGAGAGGAGGGUUAACUAAGUUACCCAUCAGCAAAGCAGACACUAGCAGUCGUUCAUUUGGGCUUCGAGCUCCUAAAGCUGGCAUGCAUAGACACCCAUUUGGAAAACCACUGGGGCAGAAUAAGUCUAGCAUUACAUCAUCUCCAACUCCUGAAAAAUUGUCCCCAGGAGGAGUUGCUUCAGUUAGAUCAACACAAAGACCCCCAUGCACAGUCCCUGCACCAAACGGUCCCACCUCUCCCUCAAAACUGCCGCAGGUCCAGCUGAUUGCACCUAAGAUCGGGCAGUCAGACCAGCCAAACGUUUCCAGGAAACGUUCUGCAUCCUUAACAAAGCAUAGUUGCUCUUCUCCUGGAAAGUAAAGAAGCAGGCGACUAAAGGAUCUUCACCAAACAAAUAGAAUAAGGCAUCAAAUUGUUGAAUACUAAUUUCAUGAAUGCAAUGAUGUGCAAUAGAAAGCAAAGGCCACUGGGUUAUUUUAGUAUUUUUACUGAACUUUUAUUGAACCAUGUGAGUUGAUCUCACAUAAAACUAUGCUUUAUUUAUUCUAUUUAGCCAGCAGAAAGUUAAUACAGGAUUAACAUAGGAUUUUCCCAAUACAAAUAAGUUUUUCUAACUGGCGAAUUUCAGGCACAGACUUUUAGAUAAAGCUUUAUGAUUGUCCUUAAAGCUAUAAAUAUGUAAAUCAUUUCAUUUUCUAUUCAGCUCGAUGUAAAUGAUCAAUUAUUGGUCUUAUUAAAUCAUCACAGUUCACCAUUUGCAUAACACAGCUUGUAAAAUUCCAUUUAUUGAAUUAUUAAAAUAGAUCGUCCAGGACAGAGUUCACUUGAUUACAGCUGGAUUUUUCUUUCUUUUUUUAUUAUAUAUAGAUGUUUUACCAUUGUUGCUACUUGUCGGAGCAGCUUCAAACAGAAUUGAACUUGAUCACAUACCACACCUUCUUUUUAAGUUAUUUUUAAGUGGCUUGGGACUGUGUGCGAUCUGGUGGUGUCAUCAG
RNAcentral lists this long non-coding RNA (1462 nucleotides) under Sinocyclocheilus grahami. RNAcentral describes it as "lncRNA (ENSSGRG00000026212.1)". The record is from RNAcentral. Lineage: Eukaryota; Metazoa; Chordata; Actinopteri; Cypriniformes; Cyprinidae.